AGAGUUUGAUCAUGGCUCAGGAUGAACGCUAGCGGCAGGCCUAACACAUGCAAGUCGAGGGGUAGAGGAAGCUUGCUUCCUUGAGACCGGCGCACGGGUGCGUAACGCGUAUGCAAUCUGCCUUGUACUGAGGGAUAGCCCAGAGAAAUUUGGAUUAAUACCUCAUAGCAUUAUGAAAUCGCAUGGUUUUAUAAUUAAAGUUCCAACGGUACAAGAUGAGCAUGCGUCCCAUUAGUUAGUUGGUAAGGUAACGGCUUACCAAGACGAUGAUGGGUAGGGGUCCUGAGAGGGAGAUCCCCCACACUGGUACUGAGACACGGACCAGACUCCUACGGGAGGCAGCAGUGAGGAAUAUUGGUCAAUGGACGCAAGUCUGAACCAGCCAUGCCGCGUGCAGGAUGAAGCAUCUAUGGUGUGUAAACUGCUUUUGUACGGGAAGAAACACUCCUACGUGUAUGAGCUUGACGGUACCGUAAGAUUAAGGAUCGGCUAACUCCGUGCCAGCAUCCGCGGUAAUACUGAGGAUUCAAGCGUUAUCCGGAAUCAUUGGGUUUAAAGGGUCCGUAGGCGGCUUUAUAAGUCAUUGGUGAAAGCCCAUCGCUUAACGAUGGAACGGCCAUUGAUACUGUUGAGCUUGAAUUACUUGGAAGUAACUAUAAUAUGUAUUGCAUCGGUGAAAUGCUUACAUAUUACAUGGAAUACUAAUUGCUAACGCAUGUUACUUACAAUU
RNAcentral lists this ribosomal RNA (730 nucleotides) under uncultured bacterium. RNAcentral describes it as "bacterial SSU rRNA". It matches the Rfam family "Bacterial small subunit ribosomal RNA", at positions 8 to 736 of the family's 1533-position model. The record is from RNAcentral.